Molecule: ribosomal RNA, 254 nt
Filed under: uncultured bacterium
Lineage: Bacteria
Description: partial 16S ribosomal RNA
Rfam family: Bacterial small subunit ribosomal RNA
Source: RNAcentral
UACGUAGGGUGCGAGCGUUAAUCGGAAUUACUGGGCGUAAAGCGUGCGCAGGCGGUUUUGUAAGCCAGAUGUGAAAUCCCCGGGCUUAACCUGGGAAUGGCAUUUGGGACUGCAAGGCUUGAGUGCGGCAGAGGAGACUGGAAUUCCUGGUGUAGCAGUGAAAUGCGUAGAUAUCAGGAGGAAUACCGAUGGCGAAGGCAGGUCUCUGGGCUGACACUGACGCUCAUGCACGAAAGCGUGGGGAGCAAACAGGG